Molecule: non-coding RNA, 138 nt
Organism: Ornithorhynchus anatinus (platypus)
Lineage: Eukaryota; Metazoa; Chordata; Mammalia; Monotremata; Ornithorhynchidae
Source: Rfam
ACCCUCUCAGGGUCGCACCUGGAGGGUUUCCAGUAUCCUACCAGUCUCGGCUAUGGGAGGGAGAGUCAAGCAGAGGCCUACCCAUUCCGUUCCUAGCUUGGCCAGUGGCCGGCGAAUGGAAGGCAAUCUGCUACAAGU